This 503-nucleotide ribosomal RNA is filed under the name uncultured bacterium. RNAcentral describes it as "partial 16S ribosomal RNA". It matches the Rfam family "Bacterial small subunit ribosomal RNA", at positions 30 to 523 of the family's 1533-position model. The record is from RNAcentral.
AUUGAACGCUGGCGGCAGGCUUAACACAUGCAAGUCGAGCGGGGUGAUGGUGCUUGCACUAUCACUUAGCGGCGGACGGGUGAGUAAUGCUUAGGAAUCUGCCUAUUAGUGGGGGACAACAUCUCGAAGGGGAUGCUAAUACCGCAUACGUCCUACGGGAGAAAGCAGGGGAUCACUUGUGACCUUGCGCUAAUAGAUGAGCCUAAGUCGGAUUAGCUAGUUGGUGGGGUAAAGGCCUACCAAGGCGACGAUCUGUAGCGGGUCUGAGAGGAUGAUACGCCACACUGGGACUGAGACACGGCCCAGACUCCUACGGGAGGCAGCAGUGGGGAAUAUUGGACAAUGGGGGGAACCCUGAUCCAGCCAUGCCGCGUGUGUGAAGAAGGCCUUAUGGUUGUAAAGCACUUUAAGCGAGGAGGAGGCUCUUUUGGUUAAUACCCAUGAUGAGUGGACGUUACUCGCAGAAUAAGCACCGGCUAACUCUGUGCCAGCCGCCGCCGUAA